GUUUUAAUUAUUGGUAGUCUGUUGGGCACCAUUUGGGAAAGAAAUAAAUUGGUCUCAGUGUAGCAGACUUGUAGCCAAAAACUUUGAAUAAAAAAUAAGUAUAAUAAAGAAUAUUAUUUCAUUUUUAAAGGAAUUGUAUUAUUUUGAAGUGCUGUGUGGUUGAUAUGGUUUGGUUGUGUCUCUACCCAAAUCUCUUAUUGAAUUGUAGUUCCCAUAAUCCCCACAUGGGAGGGACCCAGUGGGAGGUGACUGAAUCAUGGGGGCAGUUUUCCCCAUGCUAUUCUCAUGAUAGUGAUUGAGUUCUCACGAGAUUUGAUGGUUUUAUAAGGGGCUUUUCCCCCUUUGCUCAGCACUUCUCUUUCCUGCCGCCCUGUGAAGAAGAAGGUGCCUUUCUUUCCCUUUGCCUUCCGCCAUUAUUCUAAGUUUCCUGAGGCCUUCUCAGCCAUGCAGAAUUGUGAGUCAAUUAUACCUCUUUUUUAAAUAAAUUAUCCAGUCUCAGAUAUUUCUUCAUAGCAGUGUGAGAAUGGACUAAUACAAUGGUCUUAAUCAAUUUGAAGGUAUGACACUCUUUGCUUUGGAAAUCAUGUAGACAUUUUAAGUCAUUCCUAUUUUUAAUGUAGACAAACGUCCAGGUAGCAAUUUUGGGGAUAAUAAAUGAGUUCACCCUUUUUUUUUCUUUUUUUCCCUGAGACAGAGUUUGCUCUUGUUGCCCAGGCUGGAGUUUAAUGGCACGAUCUUGGCUUACCACAACCUCUGCCUCCUGGGUUCAAGCAAUUCUCCUGCCUCAGGCUCCCAAGUAGCUGGGAUUACAGGCAUGUGCCAUCACACCCGGCUAAUUUUUGUAUUUUUAGUAGAGACAGGGUAUCUCCAUGUUGGUCAGGCUGGUCUCGAACUCCUGACCUCAGGUGAUCCGCCCACUUCAGCCUCCCAAAGUGCUGGGAUUACAGGCGUGAGCCAUCAUGCCUGGCCGAGUUCAGCUUUUAUUCACAUUUUUUCCCCAAAGUGAUUUAUUCUUCAAAGUAGACAGUUAUGUUCUAUAGAGUGUUUUGUUUUUUCUUUAAGAAAAUAAUUUACAUAAACAGAGAUUAUGGUAAACAUUUUAAAUCUUAGGCUGUUGGUUAAAUUUAAUGGUUUAAGCACUGUUGGGUUCUCUUUAAUUAAUAUUUGCAGAAGGAGAACAUAUGUGUUUCACUGAUAUGUAUGGUCCAGAAAAAUUACUUAAUUCUCAAAAAUAUGUUGCAUUCUCAUAUUGUGUUAGGGAAAAUUCCAUAAGUAGUCUAUUUUUUUUUUUCUUUUGCUGACUGUUAACAUCCAAACACCUGAAUGAAAACUGACUCAUUUCUGUAUUGGUGUUUAAAAAUAUUGAUUUGCAGAUGUUCACAGAACACUUGCAUUUUUUGAUUCACAUUGCUAAAUCAAAUGUAAAGGCAAAUAUGUAUAUUUAAUAAAUGAGAAGUAUUUUUUUAUUACUGAAAUUUAUUCUCAAAGCAAAUGUAUUUUGUAGAUGUUUCAUUUGGGAGAUUUUGCUUUGCCUUAAAACAUACAAAAUAAACCUGUCUUGUGGUCUGCCCACCUCAAAACCUCUGUUAACUUGACAUGUAGAAGGAGUUCAGAAUUCUUUGAUAAUGUGUGGUUUUCACUUUUGUUUGGAUUAAACAAAAAUAAAAUUAGAGUCCAUAGCACUUUGUAAACUAAUGUGAAGUUUCUUGUUGAAUCAUAAAAGCUACCUGUAUGUACUUUAUAAUUUAAUGUUCUGUUAGUAAAAAUUGUCAGCAUUUUAUCUUUUUCUCUUCUCAUUACAUUUUAGUCUCCAAUCUUUCCCACUCUCAGCAGUCACAGUUUUGCAGAGCAAAACAUUUUUAGAAACUGAAUAUGUGUGAGUUCUAUAUAAAAUGAAUGUGUUAGUAACAUCCAUCUGCUGAUCAAGGAGGCAUUGGAUCUGGUACUAGAAGGUGAAAUUGAUUGUAGCUAUCAAAGCAUUUUAUCAAUGUAAGUCAAGAAAAAAGAAGAAAACUGUGAACCUCUGAUAUUUUUAACAUAAAAACUGUUCCCAAUGAGUGUUCUCUUGCUGAUUUUGUGUUAAUGUUAUUGUCUAUGAUUUUUAAGCUAAUGCUAAUAUAAAAUCUAAAAUUUCAACAUGAUGACAACAAUUCCUGUAGCCUGUUUUUACCAUUAGGAUGUUUUUGAAAACAGAUGUCAUCUUAGAAAUUAUAUUUUUAAGUGCAAAUAAAUCAUCCUGACUUGAAAGUCAACACAUUUUAUUUUUCAUUCCGUAGUAUCACAGAAUAUGCUGCAUUUAGAUACAGGUUUAAUUUGCCAGAUUUUCUCAAAAUUCUGUAUUUUUAUAUUGCUACAACUGGUUUACUUAACAUGCAAUUGAAUUGUUAUUUAAAUAAAUUACAUUUGAUGG
Molecule: long non-coding RNA, 2410 nt
Filed under: Homo sapiens (human)
Lineage: Eukaryota; Metazoa; Chordata; Mammalia; Primates; Hominidae
Description: non-protein coding lnc-FREM1-63:1
Source: RNAcentral